Molecule: long non-coding RNA, 2949 nt
Organism: Mauremys mutica (yellowpond turtle)
Lineage: Eukaryota; Metazoa; Chordata; Testudines; Geoemydidae
Exons: 3
Source: RefSeq, a predicted model, not a curated record
UCCAUUAAAAGAGGGAGUGGGGGUCAGACUGGGAAACCAAAGGUUCCCACCAUAUGUAAAUGCUAUUUAAGGCUGGGGAGUGAAUUAAUCAAGGCUCUUCUCCAUUGACUCCCUGCCCAAGAAGGAAGACUCCUGAAAAUACCUGAAGAAACAAAGACGCUAAGCUGGGGGCAGGGGGCUGAGUCCAGGCAGGACACAUCAGCCUGUAAAAGGAAUCCCUGGAGAUUUAAAAUGCAAUCAGUCCAGUUUACCUUCAAGAAACACUGCAACCUACUUGAAACAACAUUUAGAGUAACUAUUGGUGGGUCAGAUUGGCAGAUCCCAAUGGCAUUCCAUGAAUAAUGAAAAUUUCAAAAGUGAUCAGAACCCAACAUCUCCCAGUAAGGCACCUAAGUUACUGCCUAGAUACUAAAGAGAGCUCAGCUCCCCUUUGGAGAACAAUGGGAGCUACCGAUGCUGACUCCCUUUGAAAAUCCGGUUCAUAGUUUCCCACGAUGUGCUAUACUGCCACGCUCCCAUGCAGUUGAUGAUCAACCAGGAACCUGAGCUGAUGAUUCAAGCUUAUGGCAUGUGCCACCACACAAUCUGAGUGUUUCUUACUCAAACAACGCAAACUGAAUUUGUAAGGAUAACAAACAAAGCCGCAUAGCUUGUAAACUGUCACAAAGCCUCCAGAAUCUGUGAAAUAUCUGACAGGAAAGAAUAUUUAUGGCAGUUUUGCUUGAUCCACAUUUUUUAAAUGUUUAAGAACUAAAAGAAACACUCAGACAGAAAGUAUUCCCUUCCAGCUGGUGCAUCUUGAAACCAGUAGCCAUAGUGAACUGUCACACAUGUAACAUUGAACAGCACUAAUCACAGUGUAUUUUUGGUGCUGGCAUGUUGUAAUGAGGAUGGAGUACCACAGGAAGGUGGUGAUAUUUGUGGGUUUUCUCACCCCAUUGCUAAAGGACUUUAGUGAUCCUAUGCGUUAAUCUGUCCCUGAUGAUAGCAAAAAGAUAUCUCCCAAACAGGGUCUACUGCACCUUUACAUUGGUAAAACUGAAAGGAGAAUUUGGCCCACAGUUUGUCAGAUUUUACACAGAAUCUGCGGACAGACUAGAAUAUACCCACAUCCUGAAUCCCUAGUUCAAAUAACCUAAACUUCUGUGUAGCAAUCUGAUUACAUUUAUCCAAGAGAAGGGCACCAUAAACACCCUUCUUGGAUAGAAAGUAUUCUAUUCCCCAUUACAAAUCAAAUGUAAGGGUCAAAUUUUGGCCCUGUAUAACACAGUUGAUCCCAUUGGGUUCACAUGUGUGUAAAUUAGGGCAAUAUUUGGCCUCAGUUUACUGGUUUCUUGCUUAGCUGUGAUUUAUAUUUGUCUGUCUAUUUUCCUAUUUGGGGUUUUGCACUAAAUCCAUCACCACAGUAGCUGAAAGUUGCACAAAAGCAUUAUGCCUAUGGGUCUAUUUUUAGUUUUUAAUGUUGGCAUAACUCAAGUAGCUCAUUUUAUUAUCUGAGCAAUGAAAAAUCCCAGUGAGUCAACUUCUAAAUGUUUUCAUUGUACUAACAUGAGCACUGACAAUUAUAGAAUCCAUUUAAAAAAUUAAAACAGAAAAAUGUUUGCUUACAGAUUUUACUCCUCUUCCCAUGUGCUAAAUUUAAUCUAGUUCUGCCAGAGUGGAUUUUUGAUAACCUUGUGAAAACAGGGCUUCUGCAUGGAAAAGCAGACAGACCCAUGACGAUGGGGGUGGGAGCAAGUGCAGCUCAAACAGAGUGCACAGAUAGUGCUCUCAGUGAUGAAAAUGCAAUUAAUAAUGAGUAGUGGCUGGAAAACCUCCUAGAUUAUUCAGCUGUCUUUAAUUUACCUUUCAAAGCAAACCAGGGGAAAUGACAGUUGCUUUGCAGUUUUUAAGAAGUGGCUGCUGUGACAUUAACCUAUUAUUUUCAUGAACUCUUCCACUGUUCACAACUGAUAUCAUUUGUAAUAUACACUGACAGAUACUGCUGCACCGAGAAGCAUUCUCUCAUGUUAAUUCUAUUGGAUGCCAUGGUAUUUUCCUCAUAACCUGUAGUAUAUCAUCUCUUGGGACAAAAAUCCACCCCAUCCCGGGGGGCCAUCAUAAGACCUAUGUGUCACUUAAGCUCUAUUUGAGUACAAUUGUAAAAGUAAAAUAUACUCUCAAUCUCAUCUGCACCACUGCUACAAAGCUCAAAAUGACAAUUGGCAGAGGAGGAAAGCUACCAGCAAAGAAAUAGUUACAAUGAACUGAGUUUCUGCCUUAUGCGUUAUGUCCUCAAUCUAUUCGGUAGUAUGUCAGUAACUGGAAUAUAUUAUAUUGCAUUUUCUGAACAGAAGGUAAGUUAGGGGAAAAUUAGGCCUAAAGCAUUCAAUCCAGAGCAGCAGCUAAUAUGGCCCUGAUCUGCAAAUACUCAUGUGAGCACUCCUAUAUAUACAGCUAACACUGGAGGAUUGACAUACAUCCUUACCUGCUUUAUUUAAUGAUUUGAUCUAAUAUUGUAAACAAAAAUGUAAAAAACUAUGACUAUUCUUUUGGAUUUUUAAACAAAUUCACAUCCGCUGUGUUCAUGCCCUACCUGUGUUUGCUUUUCAUGAGUACUCUAGCAAAUGAGUUUACUGGCAGGAAUAUGCUCCAACGCAAUUUCAUUGUCACUGCAUCUGAUGACAGCAAAAUCUCAUUUGCCUUUCCUUAUCUCACUGCUCAAUUGUUAUCCCCUCUCCUGCUUGUUCCUUUUGCUUUUUAUUUUUACUUUCUUCUUCUGAGCCAAUAGUCCUGAAUGUUGCCAAGACAAAAUGAAGAGGAGCUCGGUGCUGUCAUUUCUAAGUGCUAUACUGGAUAGCGAACACCCGGUCCACAUUGUUUUGGUAACUAAGCGUUUGGGUUUGUUUUUGGAAUGGUCACUGCAGCUACCAAAGCAGGCUCCCAUCUCUUAUGUGUGUUACUUUUCUU